AUUGAACGCUGGCGGCAGGCCUAACACAUGCAAGUCGAGCGGAUGAAGGGAGCUUGCUCCUGGAUUCAGCGGCGGACGGGUGAGUAACGCCUAGGAAUCUGCCUGGUAGUGGGGGAUAACGUCCGGAAACGGGCGCUAAUACCGCAUACGUCCUGAGGGAGAAAGUGGGGGAUCUUCGGACCUCACGCUAUCAGAUGAGCCUAGGUCGGAUUAGCUAGUUGGUGGGGUAAAGGCCUACCAAGGCGACGAUCCGUAACUGGUCUGAGAGGAUGAUCAGUCACACUGGAACUGAGACACGGUCCAGACUCCUACGGGAGGCAGCAGUGGGGAAUAUUGGACAAAGGGCGAAAGCCUGAUCCAGCCAUGCCGCGUGUGUGAAGAAGGUCUUCGGAUUGUAAAGCACUUUAAGUUGGGAGGAAGGGCAGUAAGUUAAUACCUUGCUGUUUUGACGUUACCAACAGAAUAAGCACCGGCUAACUUCGUG
This 484-nucleotide ribosomal RNA is filed under the name uncultured bacterium. RNAcentral's name for it is "partial 16S ribosomal RNA". It matches the Rfam family "Bacterial small subunit ribosomal RNA", at positions 30 to 507 of the family's 1533-position model. The record is from RNAcentral.